Molecule: long non-coding RNA, 280 nt
Filed under: Ananas comosus (pineapple)
Lineage: Eukaryota; Viridiplantae; Streptophyta; Magnoliopsida; Poales; Bromeliaceae
Description: long non-coding RNA (ACOM_LNC022634)
Source: RNAcentral
UAAUUCAUGUGAAAUAAUCUAAAAUAAAGUAAUUAUUUUAUUUGUAUUUAAGGAAUUGAAAUAUAACAGCCGAGAAAGUUUAAAUGUUUGAUGGAAUAAAAAGAAAAAGCCAUGUAGCAAUAACCGUUUGCUCUCCAAAAGCUUAAGGUAGCUACUAGAUAAGGGUAUUUUUGAUAUAUCUAUUCAAUGCUUCUCCACACAUUUGGGUUCGGGACUUGUUGAUUGGCUUAAGGCAUGCAUGAACUUGAAUUAAAUAGAAGGAAAAUUCAAAUAACGCUGC